RNAcentral lists this long non-coding RNA (475 nucleotides) under Homo sapiens (human). RNAcentral's name for it is "non-protein coding lnc-FAM196A-1:1". The record is from RNAcentral. Lineage: Eukaryota; Metazoa; Chordata; Mammalia; Primates; Hominidae.
GUCCUGUGAUGACCUGUGGCGGAAGGUAAACCGAAGGUGACUGCGGUUAACGUCCUCGAUGGGAAUGGCCACCUUCAAGAAUUGAAAAAGAAGUUUAAGCACUGUUAUCAAUAUCAUCCAGCGUAACAGCUUUAUUCAACUGGAGCUAUCAGAGCCAACCCCUGGCCUGGUUUUCAAAUAUUCAAGCUCUUGGCGGUGAGACGGUGUUUACUCCAUCGUGGAGAUGUGAGCACGCUGCAUUAUGAAAAGGCACCAUAUCAGAGCUACAGAACAGGAUCCCACUCCCCAGCAAUGACCUCCACAGGCUGGCAGCUCGGUUUUUUUGUUUGGUGUAAAGACAGCAUGCCACACAUAAAACAGUACUGGGAAGAGAAAGACAAUAGCUAUCUUAAAAAGACUCUGUCAUUUGUCUCCAUGAACGUCCUAUUUUUACGUCCAAAAGGAGAUGAGAGUAAAUGUAUUCUAAGAAACACCA